This 465-nucleotide ribosomal RNA is filed under the name uncultured bacterium. RNAcentral's name for it is "partial 16S ribosomal RNA". It matches the Rfam family "Bacterial small subunit ribosomal RNA", at positions 28 to 507 of the family's 1533-position model. The record is from RNAcentral.
GACGAACGCUGGCGGCGUGCUUAACACAUGCCAGUCGAACGGAAAGGCCCCUUUGGGGGUACUCGAGUGGCGAACGGGUGCGUAACACGUGAGUAACCUGCCCUUGACUUCGGGAUAACUUCAGGAAACUGGGGCUAAUACCGGAUAGGAAUCCUUGCUGCAUGGUGGGGGUUGGAAAGCUUCGGCGGUUUUGGAUGGACUCGCGGCUUAUCAGCUUGUUGGUGGGGUAGUGGCUUACCAAGGCUUUGACGGGUAGCCGGCCUGAGAGGGCGACCGGCCACAUUGGGACUGAGAUACGGCCCAGACUCCUACGGGAGGCAGCAGUGGGGAAUAUUGCACAAUGGGCGGAAGCCUGAUGCAGCAACGCCGCGUGCGGGAUGACGGCCUUCGGGUUGUAAACCGCUUUCAGCAGGGGCGAAGCUUGUGGUGACGGUACCUGCAGAAGAAGCACCGGCUAACUACGUG